Molecule: ribosomal RNA, 452 nt
Filed under: Escherichia coli
Lineage: Bacteria; Pseudomonadati; Pseudomonadota; Gammaproteobacteria; Enterobacterales; Enterobacteriaceae
Description: bacterial SSU rRNA
Rfam family: Bacterial small subunit ribosomal RNA
Source: RNAcentral
GCUAGAUAUGAUUAGUGGCGGACGGGUGAGUAACAUUUAGGAAUCUGCCUAGUAGUGGGGGAUAGCUCGGGGAAACUCGAAUUAAUACCGCAUACGACCUACGGGUGAAAGGGGGCGCAAGCUCUUGCUAUUAGAUGAGCCUAAAUCAGAUUAGCUAGUUGGUGGGGUAAAGGCCCACCAAGGCGACGAUCUGUAACUGGUCUGAGAGGAUGAUCAGUCACACCGGAACUGAGACACGGUCCGGACUCCUACGGGAGGCAGCAGUGGGGAAUAUUGGACAAUGGGGGCAACCCUGAUCCAGCCAUGCCGCGUGUGUGAAGAAGGCCUUUUGGUUGUAAAGCACUUUAAGCAGGGAGGAGAGGCUAAUGGUUAAUACCCAUUAGAUUAGACGUUACCUGCAGAAUAAGCACCGGCUAACUCUGUGCCAGCAGCCGCGGUAAUACAGAGGGUGC